Molecule: transfer RNA, 85 nt
Filed under: Felis catus (domestic cat)
Lineage: Eukaryota; Metazoa; Chordata; Mammalia; Carnivora; Felidae
Also listed under: 2 other names
Rfam family: tRNA
About the family: Transfer RNA (tRNA) molecules are approximately 80 nucleotides in length.
Source: Rfam by way of RNAcentral
GCCUGGGUAGCUCAGUUCCUUGAGCUCCUGACUUCAGCUCAGGUCAUGAUGUCAUGGUUUGUGAGUUCGAGCCCCAUUUUGGGCU